GAUGAAGAACGUAGCGAAAUGAGAUAAGUAAUGUGAAUUGCAGAAUUCAGUGAAUCAUCGAAUCUUUGAACGCACAUUGCGCCCCUUGGUAUUCCGAGGGGCAUGCCUGUUCGAGCGUCAUUAUAACCCUCAAGCUCAGCUUGGUGUUGGGGCCUGCUGCACUGGCAGCCCUUAAAAUCAGUGGCGGCGCCAUCUGGCUCUAAGCGUAGUAAUUCUUCUCGCUAUGGAGUCCUGGUGGAUGCUUGCCAUCAACCCCCAAUUUUUCUAUGGUUGACCUCGGAUCAGGUAGGGAUACCCGCUGAACUUAAGCAUAUCAAUAAGCGGAAGA
Molecule: unclassified non-coding RNA, 328 nt
Filed under: soil metagenome
Description: partial contains 5.8S ribosomal RNA, internal transcribed spacer 2, and large subunit ribosomal RNA
Rfam family: 5.8S ribosomal RNA (bases 1-120)
Source: RNAcentral